This 1227-nucleotide unclassified non-coding RNA is filed under the name Leishmania donovani. Its description in RNAcentral is "gene:LdHU3.32.4990(CDS-product:hypothetical_prote in_conserved)". The record is from RNAcentral. Lineage: Eukaryota; Euglenozoa; Kinetoplastea; Trypanosomatida; Trypanosomatidae.
CAGACCGACCGACAUAGACAGACACGCGCACAGAAGCAACCCCCUCACCCUCUUUCUCUACACGCAAGCCGAAGCUCUUUCAGCGAACAAUGGUCUCCAAGACCCGCAGACAACGCCAGAAGAAGAAGGCCACCAUGCAGGCCAACGGCGGCGUUCUCCCCCCGGUGUUGCCGAGCGUGCCCAAGUCGGUGCACCUGAAGAAGACACGGCCCAACAUGAAGGGCAAGAUGAAGAUCCGGCUCGGGCUCGAGUCCCCCAUUGACAUCUACAACGGCUUUGAGGAGCGCAAGGGUGUUCUCUGGCGGUGCCCCACCUGUGCCAAGGCGUGCCGUGUGGUCGGCUUCUGUGUCGACUGCGCCUCCGGCGUGAAGUCGAAGUCUCCCGCGGGCCAACUUAUUGGGAAGGCGAGCACGAAGAAGGAGGCCGCGCAGACGAGGGCACCAAAGCUGCGCAUCAAGGAGAAGAGUAGGGCGAUGAGGCUGAGGCGCAAGAAGUAGGGCGGCGCGCGUGCGAAUGGACCGAGAGUGGCGGUGGGCAGGUUGACUUGUUGCACAUGUCUUCCCCGUCCCUUCGUGCGCUGUGCGUGAGGGACCAUUUUCUUUCCUUUAAUGGAUGGCUGCAUCCUGAGCGAGUAAAGGCGCGUCAAACCAACAGAGCGCAUGACAUAGCGAGCUCCUAUGCGAAUAUGGCAUGCGGGGACAUCGCAAGGCUGGGACCAUGACGAACGCGCCUAGGUGACUACACGAGAACUUCAAAAAAAACACGAGACUCAUCGGCCUUGAGGAGCACCAAUGAUUACGUGCAAGACUUGCGCGCAGGUAGGCGGCGAGGAAUGAGAAGAGCCGCUUGCAGGCGCACUCCCUUCCUAUGGCUCGACAGGGGAGCGGCGGCCAGUGGAAGUCGCACAUCUGCACUCAUCCGGACGAUCCACCACAGACGCACAUCAGCAUCUCCACUUAUUUCUUCUCCCCCCUCUCUCUGCUUCCCCUCUCACCUUCUUUGUCCGCCGCUCUGCACCGCGUCUCGAUUUCACGCUCACGCCGUGGCCGUUUGCGCGUGUUCCAUGUGCUUCCUCAUCUCUCUCCCUCUGUCUAUCUCCAAAUUUUCGUUUCGGGGCGUUGCCAUCGGCCGUCCCCAUGCGGGUGAUGUACACCACUCGCACACGCCCUUCCCCCCUCCCCUCUUUUCCCGCUCGCACUGCCGAAUCUCUUCUCUGCCUACAUGUAG